AUAUUGCACAAUGGGCGAAAGCCUGAUGCAGCGACGCCGCGUGAGGGAAGACGGUCUUCGGAUUGUAAACCUCUGUCUUUGGGGAAGAAAAUGACGGUACCCAAAGAGGAAGCUCCGGCUAACUACGUGCCAGCAGCCGCGGUAAUACGUAGGGAGCAAGCGUUGUCCGGAAUUACUGGGUGUAAAGGGAGCGUAGGCGGGAUGGCAAGUAGAAUGUUAAAUCCAUCGGCUCAACCGGUGGCUGCGUUCUAAACUGCCGUUCUUGAGUGAAGUAGAGGCAGGCGGAAUUCCUAGUGUAGCGGUGAAAUGCGUAGAUAUUAGGAGGAACACCAGUGGCGAAGGCGGCCUGCUGGGCUUUAACUGACGCUGAGGCUCGAAAGCGUGGGGAGCAAACAGG
Molecule: ribosomal RNA, 397 nt
Filed under: uncultured bacterium
Lineage: Bacteria
Description: bacterial SSU rRNA
Rfam family: Bacterial small subunit ribosomal RNA
Source: RNAcentral